Molecule: ribosomal RNA, 744 nt
Filed under: Elphidium aculeatum
Lineage: Eukaryota; Foraminifera; Rotaliida; Elphidiidae
Description: SSU rRNA
Rfam family: Bacterial small subunit ribosomal RNA
Source: RNAcentral
AGUGUUAUCCGGAAUCACUGGGCGUAAAGCGUCUGUAGGUGGCUUAACAAGUCAACUGUUAAAUCUUGAAGCUCAACUUCGAAAUCGCAGUCGAAACUGUUAGGCUAGAGUAUAGUAGGGGUAAAGGGAAUUUCCAGUGGAGCGGUGAAAUGCGUAGAGAUUGGAAAGAACACCGAUGGCGAAGGCACUUUACUGGGCUAUUACUGACACUCAGAGACGAAAGCUAGGGUAGCAAAUGGGAUUAGAUACCCCGGUAGUCCUAGCCGUAAACAAUGGAUACUAGAUGUUGGGCAGAUCGACCUGUUCAGUAUCAAAGCUAACGCGUUAAGUAUCCCGCCUGGGAAGUAUGCGCGCAAGCGUGAAACUCAAAGGAAUUGACGGGGGCCCGCACAAGCGGUGGAGCAUGUGGUUUAAUUCGAUGCAACGCGAAGAACCUUACCAGGGUUUGACAUGAUACGAAUUUUUUUGAAAGAAAAAAGUGCCGUUUGGAACGUAUACACAGGUGGUGCAUGGCUGUCGUCAGCUCGUGUCGUGAGAUGUUGGGUUAAGUCCCGCAACGAGCGCAACCCUUAUUUUUAGUUGCCUUUUAUGGAACUCUAGAAAGACUGCUGGUUAUAAACCGGAGGAAGGCGGGGAUGACGUCAAGUCAGCAUGCCCCUUACACCCUGGGCUACACACGUGCUACAUUGGGCGAGACAAUGAGACGCAAACCUGCGAAGGCUAGCUAAUCUAUAAACUCGUUCU